RNAcentral lists this ribosomal RNA (465 nucleotides) under uncultured bacterium. Its description in RNAcentral is "partial 16S ribosomal RNA". It matches the Rfam family "Bacterial small subunit ribosomal RNA", at positions 338 to 795 of the family's 1533-position model. The record is from RNAcentral.
CCUACGGGUGGCAGCAGUGGGGAAUUUUGGACAAUGGACGCAAGUCUGAUCCAGCCAUGCCGCGUGCGGGAAGAAGUCCUUCGGGUUGUAAACCGCUUUUGUCAGGGAAGAAACGCUCUGGGUUAAUACCUCGGGGUAAUGACGGUACCUGAAGAAUAAGCACCGGCUAACUACGUGCCAGCAGCCGCGGUAAUACGUAGGGUGCAAGCGUUAAUCGGAAUUACUGGGCGUAAAGCGUGCGCAGGCGGUUAUGCAAGACAGAGGUGAAAUCCCCGGGCUCAACCUGGGAACUGCCUUUGUGACUGCAUAGCUAGAGUACGGUAGAGGGGGAUGGAAUUCCGCGUGUAGCAGUGAAAUGCGUAGAUAUGCGGAGGAACACCGAUGGCGAAGGCAAUCCCCUGGACCUGUACUGACGCUCAUGCACGAAAGCGUGGGGAGCAAACAGGAUUAGAUACCCCAGUAGUC